This is a long non-coding RNA of Lycium ferocissimum, 842 nucleotides long. RefSeq lists it as uncharacterized. The transcript has 2 exons. NCBI's taxonomy places the organism in Eukaryota, Viridiplantae, Streptophyta, Magnoliopsida, Solanales, Solanaceae. The record is from RefSeq and is a predicted model, not a curated record.
UCAAAUAUCAAAAUCAAAUAUAAUGUACUGUGGUAGUAUAAUACAGUCUGAAAUAUUAGUGACAGACUAAUUCAAUUAUUCAUUAUUUUGGUAAUUUCAAUCUAACUUCAUCAGAACCAGUCGACGCCUCCUCCAAAACCCCCCAAAAGCCAACUUAAUUUUUCCCAGAAUACAUUCGUGUAUCAAUUUCUCACAUACCCAUUUUUGAAUUUUUCAUGGUUUCUUCAUGAAACAUGUUUGAAUCCAGGCCAAAAAAUGUGUUAAGCUUAGGGGUUAUCCUUAUUCUGGUUUCCUUAUCCUCUGUUUCAUUACCAGUUGAGUCCCAAUGCAAGAAAGGGUCCGAUUCAUUCUAUGUUUGGCGGGGGACAGAUCUCUCUUACAUCGCACGGUUGUUCUCGGUUGUUACUAAUGAACUGUAAUACAUACCAAGAUUCUUAUGUAAUUGCUCUAUGCAAAUAACAUGUUGCUUCCUAAUGACAAGUAACAUCACUGUUGUCAAAGGCGCUCUUAAAGCGCACUUAAGCCCUAAAGCGAGGCUCAAAACAUGUUGAGCGCUUCGCCUCGCUUUAUGUGUGCUUCAGCAUCAUCAUCAAGGCUCUAAGACAUACUUUUCCUUGCUAAUGAGCCUUUCUUGAAAAGGUGACACUAGAUAAUUGAUAUUUCACUGUAUCGUAAUGUUUUACAAUUUCUUUGUCCAUAUAUUUGUUAUUCAUGCUUAUUAUUAUUAGUCUUGGACUAAACAUAUAUAUAUAUAUAUAUAUAUAUAUAUUUGUAUUUUUGCACCAUUGCGUCCUUUUUCAUUAAAGGCCACGCGUUAUUUGCGCUUUGCGCUUAAAGCCCCA